RNAcentral lists this unclassified non-coding RNA (259 nucleotides) under uncultured bacterium. RNAcentral's name for it is "contains 16S-23S intergenic spacer region". The record is from RNAcentral.
UCCGGUUUAUCACCGGCAGUCUUUGCAGAGUCCCUUCGCUUACGCGUUGGUACCACGUGCAUGUCAAGCCGAGGUAAGGUUCUGCGCGUUGCAUCGAAUUAAACCACACGCUCCGCUGCUUGUGCGGGCCCCCGUCAAUUCCUUUGAGUUUUAGCCUUGCGGCCGUAGUCCCCAGGCGGUCGACUUAAUGCGUUAGCUGCGGCGCCGAGGGGGUCGAUACCCCCGACACCUAGUCGACAUCGUUUACGGCGUGGACUAC